RNAcentral lists this small RNA (68 nucleotides) under Xanthomonas floridensis. RNAcentral's name for it is "sX9 sRNA". It matches the Rfam family "Xanthomonas sRNA sX9". Lineage: Bacteria; Pseudomonadati; Pseudomonadota; Gammaproteobacteria; Lysobacterales; Lysobacteraceae. The record is from RNAcentral.
AUGGACCACGCGCCCACUCCGGUUCCUGGGCGCCGACCUGACGACCCGCUCGCUACGUUGUGGUAGCC